Bubalus bubalis (water buffalo) is the source of this 890-nucleotide non-coding RNA. Lineage: Eukaryota; Metazoa; Chordata; Mammalia; Artiodactyla; Bovidae. The record is from the annotation of a RefSeq genome assembly.
ACACAGGAACCAGAUACUAUGUAUAUGCGCUGCCAGGCACUCAGACACUGAACUCUCAGCUUGAGGCAGAACUAGGCACAUUUGUGCAGGGGAAUCCAUGCCUCAUGCUGCUCUCCAGUCUGCCCUGGGUGUUCCUGGCCUUCAUCUUCUCUGGAUCCAGUGUAGCCCAGAGAGUUACUCAAGACCAGCCAGACAUUUCCAGUCAAGUUGGGGAGGUAGUCACCCUGAGCUGUCAAUAUGAGACAAGACUGAGCAUUUACAGAAUUUUUUGGUAUAAACAACUUCCCAGUGGAGAGAUGAUUUACCUUAUUGGUCAGGUUUCCUCUAGCCAGAAUGCAAGGGAUGGCCGCUACUCUACAGAUAUUCAGAGAUCAGGUAAAUCAAUCAGCCUCACUAUUUCAGACUUACAGCUGGAAGACUCUGCAAAGUACUUCUGCACUCUCUGGGAACUCACAGUGGUUGAAAUAAUAGGAAAAGCUGAACAAAAACCCCAGAGCUUAAUAAGAGAGAGCCCCCCUGCUGUGGGACCCAGGCUGAAAUACACCUGCAGAGCCCAGACAAGAAAUGGUAGUCCUGCGGUUGCUUCAUCUGUGGUCUGGAUCAGAAGAUUUAAUUCUAAAUAAAAGCUCAUUCUAUGUCAUUUGGAAGCAGGUGUCCAGAGUAACUUUCUACUGAUAUAUUCUCCUCCUGAAUUUUUUACUUUAAAUCAGCCACACAGAACAUGUGUAAAGUUGUCUAAAUUUGAAAACUUGCUCUAUAAUAAUAUAGAAAGCAGUUUCACCUAAAGAGGCUCACAUCACAAAUCUGGAUCUAGAAGCUGAAAUUGUCAUGAAAAUAAUUUCCUUAGUCCUUUCCUCUCAGAUUUUGUGUCAGGGCACAACCAGAGAAGG